This 508-nucleotide ribosomal RNA is filed under the name uncultured microorganism. RNAcentral's name for it is "bacterial SSU rRNA". It matches the Rfam family "Bacterial small subunit ribosomal RNA", at positions 9 to 521 of the family's 1533-position model. The record is from RNAcentral.
GAGUUUGAUCGUGGCUCAGGACGAACGCUGGCGGCGUGCUUAACACAUGCAAGUCGAACGAGAAUCUACUGAAAGAGUUUUCGGACAAUGGAAGUAGAGGAAAGUGGCGGACGGGUGAGUAACGCGUGAGGAACCUGCCUUGAAGAGGGGGACAACAGUUGGAGACGACUGCUAAUACCGCAUGAUGCAUAAGGGUCGCAUGAUUCUUAUGCCAAAGAUUUAUCGCUUCAAGAUGGCCUGCGUCUGAUUAGCUAGUUGGCGGGGUAACGGCCCACCAAGGCGACGAUCAGUAGCCGGACUGAGAGGUUGAACGGCCACAUUGGGACUGAGAUACGGCCCAGACUCCUACGGGAGGCAGCAGUGGGGAAUAUUGGGCAAUGGGCGCAAGCCUGACCCAGCAACGCCGCGUGAAGGAGAAGGCUUUCGGUAUGUAAACUUCUAUCAGCAGGGAAGAAAAUGACGGUACCUGACUAAGAAGCCCGGCUAACUACGUGCCAGCCGCCGCCGU